Non-coding RNA from Aegilops tauschii subsp. strangulata, 1396 nucleotides. Lineage: Eukaryota; Viridiplantae; Streptophyta; Magnoliopsida; Poales; Poaceae. The record is from RefSeq and is a predicted model, not a curated record.
UUGUAUAUAUUCGUGGCGCUUGUGUACGCGCCCGCGUGUAGGUGGCGUUUUUCCUUUUACUGCUACGAGGGUCGUCGUCCUUCCUUUUAUCCUUUGGACUUGGCGGCGGUGGUGUGUUUGGUGAGCGGGGUGUUUGGUGGUCUUCGGCUCCGUGUUCGGUGCCUGCCUCUUUGGAGGGAGGGGGUCAGAUGCCUGCCUCUUCGCCAGGGGUGGGCGGCGGGUCUGCUGUUGCCGGUUUCUUCUUCCUCUGCAUCAAUUUCUUGCGAGGGAUGUUCUGGGGUGCGUCUGAUGCGUUGCUGUUGUACAGGUAAAUGACUCCGGUGCGUGGGGAUACAUGGCGGUCGCUAUGCGCACUGCACAAGGGAUGCUGGUCAGUAUUAGUUUGAUGCCUCUGUUCGUGGUGCAAAGCAGUGUUGUCUUUCUAAAAAGGGCAUGUUUCAUCAGCAGCUUUGCUAAAGACAUAUGUAGACGUUGUUGAUGUGUGCAAGGAGCGUGGCCAGCCCCAGGCAUGUGCGUUGGUUGUUUGGGACCCUGCGUGGAGUGCUAUGCUUGGUGAUGUACAGAAUACAGUCAAGAAAAACUGCAAAAGUGUACAUCUACUGUUGAUUUAUGCAUAUAGCUGAUAUUAUCAGACAUAGGCCUUCUUUAUUAUCAUGAUCUAUGCAUCAUGGCUACGUGCAUCUCUCAUUUAGUUGGUUCCUUUUUGGUAGGUCUCAAUGCGAUUCAAUUCAGUAAAACAAAUGUGCUCUACGACAUUGUUUCCAUGCGACAGAACAACAUUCAAGAGGAUCGGAGCUGGACUGCUGAUAGGUAUUUAUACGAUUCUUCAGAUUAUGUUACCCUUUGAUAUGAUCCUCCAUGGAGCGAAAUUUAUCUCCAUAGGUCACAAAAAGCAGAUUUGAUUGGUUCUAAUGAGGUUGCUGCUAUGAGUGGUCUCUUCAAAGGUAAGUGUUGUGAUUUUGUGGCGGAUGUUUGCAGGACUGAAGGAGGUUUGAUGAAUCGAUUCCUUACAUUAAAAAAUGUUGACUUAUUACUAUCACGCUUUUAAUUGAUCUAUUUUAGCAUAGGAAGGUUCAUCUGUUUUUGCAAGAAAGGUUCAUUGGUUGCUCAUGGUUUUGUAUGGUUGGGCUCGCUCAAGCAAUAGGAAGCACAUUGUCUUGGUAGUGAAUCCCACAGUUGUCAGCAAUGAUUUACAACAGGCUAUCGUCGAACCCAAAAAAGUAGUGUAAGGAUGCCAGGUUGAUGAUUUUCUGCCAUAAAUAGACACUCUUCCCUCUAGACCAUCUCAGGAUUGAAUAAAUGUUCGCUAUGUUUUCUGAGGAAUAAAUGACAUCCCUAUUGCGCUUCUUCUCAUAUGUGUUUCCUUUAUUAUUACAGUAGUCUGUUAGUAUGGAAA